Molecule: long non-coding RNA, 161 nt
Organism: Sinocyclocheilus anshuiensis
Lineage: Eukaryota; Metazoa; Chordata; Actinopteri; Cypriniformes; Cyprinidae
Exons: 3
Source: RefSeq, a predicted model, not a curated record
AUUUGACGGGAAAGAUAACAUCUUCGUACCUUUGUGUUCAUUCAUUGUCUUCAAUGUGAUGGACUGGAUUGGCAGAAGUCUCACUUCUCGUCUUCAGUGGCCUUCGAUGAAGAGUCAUUUAUUCCCUCUUUUUGUGGUAUUACGGGUAGUUUUCAUUCCUG